UCUGCUUUAAUCAAAACACCUAAGCUACAACAAUAAAAAAAAACAUAUUCUAAUCUUAUAAAUCAUGAGCUUCACAAAAGUUCUAUUAACAAUUUUUCUCAUUGUGAUUGUUUCAACAAAUGUUGAAGCUAUUGGUGAAGAAAAAAUUUCUUGUAGAGCAAAAUGCGUACUUGCAUGUCUCUUAAGCAAAACACCUCAUUGUCUUUCUGAUUGUUUGAAACAAUGUAAACUUCAUAUUUCUUCUGAAGAAUUUAACGAUGCUCGAAAUUUAAAGAAGAUUUGAAGCUAAUAAAGAGCUGCUUGGAAGAAUGUUCAACACAUUAUUAAAGAAUGAUAUUUAGUCUUAUGUUUAUUGUUACCUUAUAUAGUAUUGAUAUACAUUUUUAUUUAAAUGAAGUGGAGUAAUUUAUUUUGGUAAUUCUAUCUUUUAAUAUUUCAGCGUCCA
This is a long non-coding RNA of Solanum lycopersicum (tomato), 445 nucleotides long. RefSeq lists it as uncharacterized. Lineage: Eukaryota; Viridiplantae; Streptophyta; Magnoliopsida; Solanales; Solanaceae. The record is from RefSeq and is a predicted model, not a curated record.